RNAcentral lists this ribosomal RNA (253 nucleotides) under uncultured bacterium. RNAcentral describes it as "partial 16S ribosomal RNA". It matches the Rfam family "Bacterial small subunit ribosomal RNA", at positions 524 to 776 of the family's 1533-position model. The record is from RNAcentral.
UACGUAGGUGGCAAGCGUUGUCCGGAAUUACUGGGUGUAAAGGGAGCGUAGGCGGUUUGGUAAGUUGAGUGUGAAAUCUACCGGCUUAACUGGUAGGCUGCGCUCAAAACUACCAAACUUGAGUGAAGUAGAGGCAGGCGGAAUUCCCGGUGUAGCGGUGGAAUGCGUAGAUAUCGGGAGGAACACCAGUGGCGAAGGCGGCCUGCUGGGCUUUUACUGACGCUGAUGCUCGAAAGCAUGGGGAGCAAACAGG